AUACGCUCAACAGGCAGAAAUGAUGCUGGAUAUGACAUGUCUGCAGACGCUACGAACCGGAGCGAGGACUAAUCUCGCCUCAUAAUGAGGCGGUGACCUCUUAUUUGCUCGGAGCAAUAUCUGGAAGUCCAGAUUUACACGAUGUUGAUAAAGACGACAUUGUGUCCACCUGUAAGACAUAUUACGAGACGGUACGCAGGAGCUUUAGAUAUACCCAGCCAGAAAACUCAUUGCGGGCGGAAGCUGCGAAGAGUUCAGCUCGGGAGUCGAGCGAGAAGAAAGAGGGUACCCAGCUAACACACGACCAAAUGGCAACGUUGCCUAUAAGUUGCCAUUUGGUCAUGGCGACAUUACUUUCUGGCAACGUUGUGGCAACAUUGCCACAACGUUGCCUGCAGGAAGUUUCCAUUAAGUAAACAAAUUACGUUGCCACGACGUAGUGGUUUGGUAAUUUUGAUAACGUUGCCUCUUGGUAGUGUAAGUGACAUUGCCACAACGUUGCCUACAGGAAGUUGCCAUUAAGUAAACAAAUUACGUUGCCGCAACGUAGUGGUUUGGUAAUUUUGAUAACGUUGCCUCUUGGUAGUGUAAGUGACGUUGCCACAACGUUGCCUACAGGAAGUUGCCAAUUAAGUAAAGAAAUUACGUUGCCACAACGUAGUGGCUUGGUAAUUUUGCUAACUUUGCCACUUGGUAACGCAAGUAAUGUUGUGGCGACGUAGUGUUGUGGUCAUUUACUUACCGUGAGACAGAAUUACACCAUACGAAUAUUAAAGGUUGUUUCCAUGUCCAGCACAAAGAUUAGGUUUGAAUGCUAUGCUGGAUAUGUAUGACAAUUUCUAGUUUAGAAUUUGUAUUUCCAUUUUAUAGUGACAAUAAAGGGCUCACCUUCAGACAGCAAAGCAAAACCCAUAGGCUAACAUGCUAUAAAAUAACAGAUUUUUUUCUAAAUCAAACUAUCUUCGAGCCGGAAAAAUUAACCACUGGUUUGUAUUGUUUAUUCACUACCUAGGGAUGACUCAAUUCCCACAGAAACUAUUUGUGCUCAACUAGGAUUAAUCCAGAACUACAUAACAAUUCUCAGUUCCACAAACUCUGACCCAGUUGAAAAAAUAGCAAUGACAUAUAUUCAGAUACUGAAUUGAUGAAGCAUUUAUUUUAAAUGCAUAUACAGGGACCACAUAAAUAAAUCACAACGACAAUUAUUUCUAUUAAAACAACAUUUGAAGUCAAAUUCAUGCGUUUCACAGAUUGAAGUGAUGUACUAACAAACCACAUUGCAGGGUAGGCAUUAGUCAACCAGUACAGAGCAUGAAGGCCUUGGAGCGGCUGAGGUGGAGAGUAGCUAAAACAGUGACUGCUAAUCAGAAUCCAAUUCUAAUGUUAAUGCUGUCUAGUGCAAUUUUGACCAAGAUCUCCCUCUUGUUAUCCAAUUACUGGCCACAAUAACAGUCUUUUCUCCCAAAAACUCCACAAUACUCAUUUUGUAAUCAAACACAGAGAAAUUACAGUAAACAAUAUUGUGUCUGUAUGAAAAAUUGCAAUGAUAAUACUCUUAUGAGAGCACAAAUGACAACAUACUGCAAUGUCAUGAAGAAUGGCCAUUAAGAUUAUUUUUCCCUAACAGGAAUCUUGAUUGUACUUUGUUUCAGUCACCUCAAAACAGUCAUUGAUCUUGAAUUUUAGUACUCCGACUAAUGUACUAAUGUUAUAUAGCCAUGGGUAUAUCAUUUACUAAUCACACUCUCACGCAGGACAUUUUGCCCAAUUAACAGAACUAUAUAAGAUGCUAUUUCAAAAUACUAUCGGAAACAACAAACAAAGACUGUGGUCGGCAUCUCCGAUUUAAAACAGUGAUUCACAAGGCAUAUAAGGGACAGGGAAACACUAGACCCCAAAGGUAACUGCCCCCCAGUUUUCUAUCAAGCUGAUGUUGUCCUUAAGCCGCAGAGGGGCUGGUUCUGCUGUUGCAGCUGAGGGUUGUCAAGAUGUCCUUUUACCUCAAGUCGUCUUAAAAAUGGUGGAUCCCAGCAUCUUCAGUUCGGUUCCUGGAAAAGGAAAAAAAAAGGUAAGAAUGUCUUACUUUCUGUUCACAUGCAUACAUUAUGCUGAGAAACAGUUGAAUAAAAUAUCCAGCGAAAUGAAAAGUGUGCGAGGGCAGCUAUAAAAGAACAAUUGUGUCUAACUAGCUGGGUUUGACAAAUUGGUCUUGUUUUUAUGCCUGUAGCUCACAGAUAAGUGUGACCAAGUAAUCUCCAUGCUUGGUCACAACUGAAUGGUUCAAAAUAGAAUAAUAAACAGACUAAAUUAACAUACAAAUUAAUAUAUAGUAAUAAAUAUAUAAGACAUUUCUUAAUAAAUACACUUGUUACCAAAAGCCUUCAACUUUAAUAAUUUAUAUGAUCACCACUUUUAAAUUAAUGUUACUACCCCUUUAAGACGCCUUCCUAGCCACGAGCUAGUAUGAGUUAGACGCGAGCAAGUUCACCAAAGAUCCUUGAUUAACCCUCUCUGAGUUCACCUAACGGAAAAAACGAAAAGACGCAAAAUCAUUCAUCAUGGGACAACAUACAGCACCGAACUAUAUAGGAAUUAGAACACGUCUUUUCUAUCACCAAACCGAGUCUGUUCUAUCACAUCUAAACGACAAUUUCGUGGUGCUUUCAAUAGUAUGACUGUUUUGGUGAGUUUCACUCUAUUUCCUAAAGUGUAGGCUAUAUCCAUCACCAUCCACCAUCCGCAUCUCCAGUCCACAGCUCCGUUAUUCCCGCGACUUGGUAGCCUACCGUCGGCGCCGGCAUCCUGACACAUCUAGGCUACAAGUGCAAGGGCGAAGGAAUGACCCAGCAGCAGCAAAAAAGUCUAGCGUAACCAGCUAUCAGCAUAUCCUAUUUUAGUUUUGACUGAAUGUAAAAUUAAUAUAAAUGCACUCACCUGUUCUCUUUUAUUUGUUCUUCACAGGGUCGGAUGGAACAGGAGGUGGAAGACCAUCCGCAAAAUUGAAUUUCCACAUUAUUUUAAAUAAAAUAUAAUCCACGCUCUGUUGCUGUUGUGGGUUAAGCUGAGUUUGUUUAAUCUCUGCAUCUCUUCUUUGUCCCUGAUGGUGGCCAGAUCAGUGUACUUCUCUCUGCAGUUGGUCUGGGCUUCGGUCCAUGUCUUGGGGUCAAUGAUAUAGUGGUACUCACGAGAGGCCAACACUAAAGCUCCAAAGUGGGAAAGAAAGGGAUCUUUAGAACAAAAGCUGUAGUCGUUUUGAUUGAUGAAGUUUAUCGACCUAAUGAGUUAGAUGACCUUGAGUACCUAAUCAGUGCAUCUAGGCUUUGUAGUGAUUGUUGUGUAUUGGAUCUCUAUACUCCAUAACCUUAAUUCUGGCCCUGCCGGGCCACCGUUGUGA
Alosa alosa (allis shad) is the source of this 3394-nucleotide long non-coding RNA. RefSeq lists it as uncharacterized. The record is from RefSeq and is a predicted model, not a curated record. Lineage: Eukaryota; Metazoa; Chordata; Actinopteri; Clupeiformes; Clupeidae. The transcript has 3 exons.